CAGCUGAAAACGACAAGUAAACAAUACUGGCU
This 32-nucleotide non-coding RNA is filed under the name Homo sapiens (human). Lineage: Eukaryota; Metazoa; Chordata; Mammalia; Primates; Hominidae. The record is from RNAcentral.